GCCUGGGUGGCUCAGUCGGUUAAGCGUCUGACUUCGGCUCAGGUCAUGAUCUCGCGGUCCGUGAGUUCAAGCCCCACGUCGGGCU
Felis catus (domestic cat) is the source of this 85-nucleotide non-coding RNA. The record is from Rfam. NCBI's taxonomy places the organism in Eukaryota, Metazoa, Chordata, Mammalia, Carnivora, Felidae.